RNAcentral lists this transfer RNA (23 nucleotides) under Stachys lavandulifolia. RNAcentral's name for it is "partial tRNA-Val". Lineage: Eukaryota; Viridiplantae; Streptophyta; Magnoliopsida; Lamiales; Lamiaceae. RNAcentral also lists the same sequence under 17 other names. The record is from RNAcentral.
CUCGAACCGUAGACCUUCUCGGU